RNAcentral lists this ribosomal RNA (591 nucleotides) under Staphylococcus aureus. RNAcentral describes it as "partial 23S ribosomal RNA". It matches the Rfam family "Bacterial large subunit ribosomal RNA", at positions 1615 to 2207 of the family's 2925-position model. Lineage: Bacteria; Bacillati; Bacillota; Bacilli; Caryophanales; Staphylococcaceae. The record is from RNAcentral.
AAGCCUCUAGAUAGAAAAUAGGUGCCCGUACCGCAAACCGACACAGGUAGUCAAGAUGAGAAUUCUAAGGUGAGCGAGCGAACUCUCGUUAAGGAACUCGGCAAAAUGACCCCGUAACUUCGGGAGAAGGGGUGCUCUUUAGGGUUAACGCCCAGAAGAGCCGCAGUGAAUAGGCCCAAGCGACUGUUUAUCAAAAACACAGGUCUCUGCUAAACCGUAAGGUGAUGUAUAGGGGCUGACGCCUGCCCGGUGCUGGAAGGUUAAGAGGAGUGGUUAGCUUCUGCGAAGCUACGAAUCGAAGCCCCAGUAAACGGCGGCCGUAACUAUAACGGUCCUAAGGUAGCGAAAUUCCUUGUCGGGUAAGUUCCGACCCGCACGAAAGGCGUAACGAUUUGGGCACUGUCUCAACGAGAGACUCGGUGAAAUCAUAGUACCUGUGAAGAUGCAGGUUACCCGCGACAGGACGGAAAGACCCCGUGGAGCUUUACUGUAGCCUGAUAUUGAAAUUCGGCACAGCUUGUACAGGAUAGGUAGGAGCCUUUGAAACGUGAGCGCUAGCUUACGUGGAGGCGCUGGUGGGAUACUACCCUA